Molecule: ribosomal RNA, 253 nt
Filed under: uncultured bacterium
Lineage: Bacteria
Description: partial 16S ribosomal RNA
Rfam family: Bacterial small subunit ribosomal RNA
Source: RNAcentral
UACAGAGGUCUCAAGCGUUGUUCGGAUUCAUUGGGCGUAAAGCGUGCGUAGGCGGCGCGCUAAGUCAGGUGUGAAAUCUCGGGGCUUAACUCCGAAACUGCAUUUGAUACUGGCGUGCUUGAGGACUGGAGAGGAGACUGGAAUUCAUGGUGUAGCAGUGAAAUGCGUAGAGAUCAUGAGGAAGACCAGUGGCGAAGGCGGGUCUCUGGACAGUUCCUGACACUGAGGCACGAAGGCCAGGGGAGCAAACGGG